UGGGGAAUAUUGCGCAAUGGGGGAAACCCUGACGCAGCGACGCCGCGUGCGGGAUGAAGGCCUUCGGGUUGUAAACCGCUUUUGAUUGGGAGCAAGCUUUCGGGUGAGUGUACCUUUCGAAUAAGCGCCGGCUAAAUACGUGCCAGCAGCCGCGGUAAUACGUAUGGAGCGAGCGUUGUCCGGAAUUAUUGGGCGUAAAGGGUACGCAGGCGGUUUAAUAAGUCGAAUGUUAAAGAUCGGGGCUCAACCCCGUAAAGCAUUGGAAACUGAUAAACUUGAGUAGUGGAGAGGAAAGUGGAAUUCCUAGUGUAGUGGUGAAAUACGUAGAUAUUAGGAGGAAUACCAGUAGCGAAGGCGACUUUCUGGACACAAACUGACGCUGAGGUACGAAAGCGUGGGGAGCAAACAGG
RNAcentral lists this ribosomal RNA (410 nucleotides) under Bacteroidota bacterium. RNAcentral describes it as "Bacteroidetes bacterium partial 16S ribosomal RNA". It matches the Rfam family "Bacterial small subunit ribosomal RNA", at positions 355 to 776 of the family's 1533-position model. The record is from RNAcentral. Lineage: Bacteria; Pseudomonadati; Bacteroidota.